RNAcentral lists this ribosomal RNA (253 nucleotides) under uncultured bacterium. RNAcentral describes it as "partial 16S ribosomal RNA". It matches the Rfam family "Bacterial small subunit ribosomal RNA", at positions 524 to 776 of the family's 1533-position model. The record is from RNAcentral.
UACGGGGGGAGCAAGCGUUGUUCGGAUUUACUGGGCGUAAAGGGCGCGUAGGCGGCACUGCAAGUCGACUGUGAAAUCUCCGGGCUUAACCCGGAAAGGUCAGCCGAUACUGCGGGGCUAGAGUGCAGAAGGGGCAACUGGAAUUCUCGGUGUAGCGGUGAAAUGCGUAGAUAUCGAGAGGAACACCUGCGGCGAAGGCGGGUUGCUGGGCUGACACUGACGCUGAUGCGCGAAAGCUAGGGGAGCGAACGGG